Molecule: non-coding RNA, 187 nt
Organism: Clostridium sp.
Lineage: Bacteria; Bacillati; Bacillota; Clostridia; Eubacteriales; Clostridiaceae
Rfam family: 6S / SsrS RNA
About the family: E. coli 6S RNA was the first non coding RNA to be sequenced, but its function was unknown until recently. It consists of 184 nucleotides that fold into an extended hairpin structure with a large single-stranded internal bulge. The 6S RNA specifically associates with RNA polymerase holoenzyme containing the sigma70 specificity factor.
Source: Rfam
GAAAUCCUGGGGCAUGCGACAGUGCCUAUUUAAAUUCAACCGACAAAGUUUGAACGGGAGUAUGAGUUUAGCGGUGGAUAAAAUGCCCCUUCAUAAUUAUGGGGGACUUUAAAAACUGCUAGUAGUACACCCACCUGGGAGAUUCUCGGGUAUGAAUUUAAAGGGCCAUCGGUGUUUCGGGGUAAAA